Molecule: ribosomal RNA, 403 nt
Filed under: Verrucomicrobiota bacterium
Lineage: Bacteria; Pseudomonadati; Verrucomicrobiota
Description: Verrucomicrobia bacterium partial 16S ribosomal RNA
Rfam family: Bacterial small subunit ribosomal RNA
Source: RNAcentral
UGGGGAAUAUUGCACAAUGGGCGCAAGCCUGAUGCAGCAACGCCGCGUGAACGAUGAAGGUCUUCGGAUCGUAAAGUUCUGUUGCAGGGGAAGAUAAUGACGGUACCCUGCGAGGAAGCCCCGGCUAACUACGUGCCAGCAGCCGCGGUAAUACGUAGGGGGCUAGCGUUAUCCGGAUUUACUGGGCGUAAAGGGUGCGUAGGUGGUCCUUCAAGUCGGUGGUUAAAGGCUACGGCUCAACCGUAGUAAGCCGCCGAAACUGGAGGACUUGAGUGCAGGAGAGGAAAGUGGAAUUCCCAGUGUAGCGGUGAAAUGCGUAGAUAUUGGGAGGAACACCAGUAGCGAAGGCGGCUUUCUGGACUGCAACUGACACUGAGGCACGAAAGCGUGGGUAGCAAACAGG